GAUGAACGCUGGCGGCGUGCCUAAUACAUGCAAGUCGAGCGAACAGACGAGGAGCUUGCUCCUCUGACGUUAGCGGCGGACGGGUGAGUAACACGUGGAUAACCUACCUAUAAGACUGGGAUAACUUCGGGAAACCGGAGCUAAUACCGUAUAACAUGUUGAACCGCAUGGUUCAACAGUGAAAGACGGUCUUGCUGUCACUUAUAGAUGGAUCCGCGCCGCAUUAGCUAGUUGGUAAGGUAACGGCUUACCAAGGCAACGAUGCGUAGCCGACCUGAGAGGGUGAUCGGCCACACUGGAACUGAGACACGGUCCAGACUCCUACGGGAGGCAGCAGUAGGGAAUCUUCCGCAAUGGGCGAAAGCCUGACGGAGCAACGCCGCGUGAGUGAAGAAGGUCUUCGGAUCGUAAAACUCUGUUAUUAGGGAAGAACAAAUGUGUAAGUAACUAUGCACGUCUUGACGGUACCUGAUCAGAAAGCCACGGCUAACUACGUG
RNAcentral lists this ribosomal RNA (497 nucleotides) under uncultured bacterium. RNAcentral's name for it is "partial 16S ribosomal RNA". It matches the Rfam family "Bacterial small subunit ribosomal RNA", at positions 28 to 507 of the family's 1533-position model. The record is from RNAcentral.